AAAUUCUAUAAUUUUUGGAUAUCAUUUACCAAGUGAUCAAAGAGUCACAAGAAUGACUAUUUUAAUGUCCGAUGUGAUAUGUUUGUAAUUUUAACAAUGUCGAACAAUCUAAAUUAAAUAAAAUUUUAAUAAAAUGUUUUACUUACCAUCAAAAGUAAGAUUAAUAUUUUCAAUUUUGAAAUUUAAGUUUUUUAUCAUUAUUUUUUAUAAAAUUUUUAUUUUCAGCCGUUCAUUGUAAGAUUACUCGUUUAUUAGUCAAAUGAAAUUAAAAAAAUUAUGAAAUUUGAUUUUCUUGAUAGUUGCAACACAGUAGAUCACAUUUAAUAGAAUCGUUCGCCGAAUCGGAUGUCUUAUUAUUGAAAAUAAUUUAUAUACACUGAGACUUCCGUACUUUCGAAAGUAGAUGAAGCUCACUUUAUCUCUCUCCAUAUAUAUAUAUAGGCUAGCGCUACUAUACUCUUAUGAGUAUAGGCUCCCUUGUAUUUAUAAAUUUUUAACCGUUGAUUGAUGGGAUGUAUGGUUAGGACGAUGAUGGUCCCCGCUUAAAAUAAUAGUGGUCCCCUAGGGUUGAGUGAGUAGUUGGUUGAAUAGUAUGAUCUAACGGAUGGAAAUGAUCAGUGGAAUAAAUUUAAGGGCCAAAAACUUAUGAGUAUAAAAGAGUCAAUACUCAUAAAAGUAUAGUAGCCGGACUAUAUAUAUAUAUAUAUAUAUAGUAAGUUAGUAAGUCUCCCGUACUUUCGAAAGUACAGAGACCUCCGUGCUUGUAAGUUGUUUUUGAUAAUAGAAAAUCCGAUUUGACGAUCGGCUCCGUUAAAUAUAAUCUACUCUAUUGGAAUUAUUUAGAAACCAAAUUUUAUAAUUUUUUGACAUCAUUUACCAAGCGAUCAAAAGGUCUCAAAAAUGACUAUUUUAACGGCCGAUGUGGCACAUUUUUAAGUUCAACGGUGUAGAAGUAUCCAAAUUAAAUGAAAAUUUAACAGAAAAUUCUACUUAAUAUCAAUAGCAAGACCAAUACUUUCGAUUUGAAAUUUGAGUCUCUGACCACUGUUUUUUAUGAAAUUUUUAUUUUCAACCAUUCAUUUUGAGGCGACUCGUUUACUUAACAUUU
This 1108-nucleotide long non-coding RNA is filed under the name Ananas comosus (pineapple). RNAcentral's name for it is "long non-coding RNA (ACOM_LNC006053)". The record is from RNAcentral. Lineage: Eukaryota; Viridiplantae; Streptophyta; Magnoliopsida; Poales; Bromeliaceae.